RNAcentral lists this ribosomal RNA (403 nucleotides) under uncultured bacterium. RNAcentral's name for it is "bacterial SSU rRNA". It matches the Rfam family "Bacterial small subunit ribosomal RNA", at positions 355 to 775 of the family's 1533-position model. The record is from RNAcentral.
UCGGGAAUAUUAGUAAUGGGCGAAAGCCUGAACUAGCAACGCCGCGUGUGCGAAGAAGGCCUUCGGGUUGUAAAGCACUUUUUGAGAGGAUGAGGAAGGACGGUACUCUCAGAAUAAGUCUCGGCUAACUACGUGCCAGCAGCCGCGGUAACACGUAGGAGGCGAACGUUAUCCGGAUUUACUGGGCGUAAAGCGCGUGUAGGUGGUUUGGUAAGUAGGGCGUGAAAGCUCCUGGCUCAACUGGGAGAGGCCGUUCUAAACUGCCGAACUAGAGGAUGGUAGAGGGAGGUGGAAUUCCGGGUGCAGCGGUGGAAUGCGCAGAUAUCCGGAGGAACACCAGUGGCGAAAGCGGCCUCCUGGACCACUCCUGACACUCAGACGCGAAAGCUAGGGUAGCAAACGG